Molecule: ribosomal RNA, 450 nt
Filed under: uncultured bacterium
Lineage: Bacteria
Description: bacterial SSU rRNA
Rfam family: Bacterial small subunit ribosomal RNA
Source: RNAcentral
AACGAACGCUGGCGGCAGGCUUAACACAUGCAAGUCGAGCGCGUAGCAAUACGAGCGGCAGACGGGUGAGUAACGCGUGGGAAUCUACCCUUUUCUACGGAACAACUGAGGGAAACUUCAGCUAAUACCGUAUACGUCCUAACGGAGAAAGAUUUAUCGGAGAAGGAUGAGCCCGCGUUGGAUUAGCUAGUUGGUGGGGUAAAGGCCUACCAAGGCGACGAUCCAUAGCUGGUCUGAGAGGAUGAUCAGCCACACUGGGACUGAGACACGGCCCAGACUCCUACGGGAGGCAGCAGUGGGGAAUAUUGGACAAUGGGCGCAAGCCUGAUCCAGCCAUGCCGCGUGAGUGAUGAAGGUCUUAGGAUUGUAAAGCUCUUUCAGCAGGGAAGAUAAUGACGGUACCUGCAGAAGAAGCCCCGGCAAACUUCGUGCCAGCCGCCGCCGUAACAC